CCUACGGGUGGCAGCAGUGAGGAAUAUUGGUCAAUGGGCGGAAGCCUGAACCAGCCAAGUCGCGUGAGGGAAGAAGGCCCUACGGGUCGUAAACCUCUUUUGCCGGGGAGCAAGGGCGGGGACGUGUCCCGGCCCGGAGAGUACCCGGAGAAAAAGCAUCGGCGAACUCCGUGCCAGCAGCCGCGGUAAUACGGAGGAUGCGAGCGUUAUCCGGAUUUAUGGGGUUUAAAGGGUGCGUAGGUUGUUUUUUAAGUCAGCGGUGAAAGUUUGUGGCUCCACCAGAAAAUUGCCGUUGAAACUGGCAGACUUGCGUGUGUUUGCGGUAGGCGCACUGCGUGGUGUCGCGGU
RNAcentral lists this ribosomal RNA (348 nucleotides) under uncultured bacterium. RNAcentral's name for it is "partial 16S ribosomal RNA". It matches the Rfam family "Bacterial small subunit ribosomal RNA", at positions 338 to 682 of the family's 1533-position model. The record is from RNAcentral.